This is a non-coding RNA of Punica granatum (pomegranate), 2141 nucleotides long. Lineage: Eukaryota; Viridiplantae; Streptophyta; Magnoliopsida; Myrtales; Lythraceae. The record is from RefSeq and is a predicted model, not a curated record.
AUUAUUAUUUUAAAUAUUAUUAAAAAACCUGUAACGAAACUAAAAUUAACCCUACUUAAAAUAUCUUCGAUGCCAUAAUGAUAAAUAAAUCUGCAUAAAAAACCUCCAUAUAAACAUACUUUAUACCAUAAUGAAUAAUAACCAUCUUAUCCACCUCCUCCACAAAAAACAUAUGUUUCACCAAAAUGAAAAUUAACACUGCUUAGAACAACCACCACAAAAACAUAUGUUACACCAAAAUGAUAAAUACCCCACUUAAAACAUAUAUUCAAUAACGCAACGGCACUAAAAUUAACCAUAGAAUUUUUUAUACAAACUUAUAACCAUGUUUAUACCAUAACCAAUGUUCUACAUAAUAAUAACAAUUAAUGGUCAUGGGCUAUAAGUGUACAUAACAAUUUAGUCAUUUCUACAUAUUUGUAUACAUUUCAAAAGGUAUAAUAGCUAUACUAAUCAUACUUCCGACAACACCACCAGCUUGGUACAUCGCAAUGCUCCAUACUUUGAGCAAAACAUCCCCUGCAAAUUGUACUUUAUUCUUCCACCAAUAAAAAAGAGCAAUGACACCAAACAAAUUCCAUGACUUCUUCCAUUGCACCAUUAUAACACCACUUAAAAGAUAGCUGUCAAAAUAUAAAUACCAAAACAACACGUAAUAGAUAGCUGUCAAAAUAUAAAUAUCAAAUCACCUUCACAGCUAUUAUUAUUGCACAAAAGAACCAAACUACUAUUUCAGCAUUAGAGCAAUUUCAUUUUUACCUUAAGAGCAAGAGCCCAAGAAAACUCCACGAUGAAGUUUAACUUGUAGUCAUUCUUUACUGAUUUACAAGGAAAUCCUGAACCAUUUCCAAGUGGUCUUCAGAAUCGGUACAAAAAAAUAGCAAGAUUUCAUUCGAAGGGUUUCCGAACUUUCGAAUAGCCAUGCGCACUUCUGCUGAAGUAAGGCCAUCAACACUACGAAGAGUUCCGGAAGUUCAAGGAACUUCUCUUGAACGAUGUCAGAGCGAACACUCUUUGAGAGUAUCAGGCAAGCUUCUUUCAUGUCGGCUGCCAUAGUAUUCACAGCCUCAGAAAUUGUUGAGAAGUCACCUUCAUUUUUUUUUCCACUUUCUUCCCGAAGAAGCAUUUCGCGGUUCCUCUCUACGUGGCAGAUGAGCAAGAGAAACGUUUCCAGAUGUGAGGGUAUUCGCAUUAGCAUAUUCAUUUUGAUUUGAAGGAUUCAUAUCAGCUUCUUCGACUGUUUUAGUGAAAUCUUCAAUCUCCAGCUCUUUGAGAAUAUCUUCAACAGCUUUAGCAUCCUAGCAUUUUAUGUCGCGAGUGAAACCGCUCCAUUUAGACUAAAAAGUUUUUCCCAUUUCGGAGAAUUAUCUUUGAUAUAAUGUGAAGGAUCGAGCUACUAAAAAGAAUGCUCAAGCUGUUGAAGAUAUUCUCAAAGAAGUGGAGAUUGAAGAUUUGAUUGGAGCAGUCGAAGAAGCUUAUGUGAAUCAUUCAAAUCAAAAUGAAUCUGCCAAUGCAAAUACCCUUACAUCAGGAGACGUUUCUCGUGCUCAUCUGCCACCUAGAGAGGAACCGGGAAGUGCUUCUUCAAGAAGAAAAAGGAAAAAGAAUGAAGGUGACUUCUCAACGAUUUCUGAGUCCGUGAAUACUAUGGCAGCCGACAUGAAAGAUGAUUGCCCGAUACUCUCAAAGAGUGUUCACUCUGACAUCGUUCAAGAGAAGUUCCUUAAACUUCCGAGAGCUCUUCGUAGUGUUGAUGGCCUUACUUCAGCAGAACUGCGCAUGGCUAUUCGAAAGUUCGGAAACCAUCCGAAUGAAAUCCUGCUAUAUUUUGGUACCGAUCUUGAAGACUACUUGGAAAUGGUUUAGGAUUUCUUUGCAAAUCAAUAAAGGAGGACCACAAGUUAAACUUCUUCGUGGAGUUUUUUUAGGCUCUUGCUCAUAAGGUAAAAAUGAAAUUGUUCUGAUGCUGAAAUAGUAGUUUGAUUCUUUUGUGCAAUAAUAAUAGAUGUGAAGGUGAUUUAGCAUUUAUAUUUUGGCAACUAUCUGUUGAGUGUUGUUUUGGUAUUUAUAUUUUGGUAGUUAUCUUUUGAGUGAUGUUAUAAUGGUGCAAUGGAAUAAGCCAUGAAGUUUGUUUGGUGUCA